This 253-nucleotide ribosomal RNA is filed under the name uncultured bacterium. Its description in RNAcentral is "partial 16S ribosomal RNA". It matches the Rfam family "Bacterial small subunit ribosomal RNA", at positions 524 to 776 of the family's 1533-position model. The record is from RNAcentral.
UACGGAAGGUGCAAGCGUUGUUCGGAAUGACUGGGCGUAAAGGGCGCGUAGGCGGGUUUGUAAGUCAGUUGUGAAAUCCCUGGGCUUAACCUAGGAACAGCAAUUGAAACUGCAAGUCUUGAAUAUCUGAGAGGUUGGUGGAAUUCCAGGUGUAGGAGUGAAAUCCGUAGAUAUCUGGAGAAACAUCGGAGGCGAAGGCGGCCAACUGGCAGAAUAUUGACGCUGAGGCGCGAAAGUGCGGGGAGCAAACAGG